This 253-nucleotide ribosomal RNA is filed under the name uncultured bacterium. Its description in RNAcentral is "partial 16S ribosomal RNA". It matches the Rfam family "Bacterial small subunit ribosomal RNA", at positions 524 to 776 of the family's 1533-position model. The record is from RNAcentral.
UACAGAGGGGGCAAGCGUUGUUCGGAAUUACUGGGCGUAAAGGGCGCGUAGGCGGCCCGCUAAGUCGAACGUGAAAUCCCCGGGCUCAACCCGGGAACUGCGUCCGAUACUGGUGGGCUCGAAUCCGGGAGAGGGAUGCGGAAUUCCAGGUGUAGCGGUGAAAUGCGUAGAUAUCUGGAGGAACACCGGUGGCGAAGGCGGCGUUCUGGACUGCAACUGACACUGAGAAACGAAAGCCAGGGUAGCAAACGGG